AGUGAACGCUGGCGGUAGGCCUAACACAUGCAAGUCGAACGGCAGCACAGUAAGAGCUUGCUCUUACGGGUGGCGAGUGGCGGACGGGUGAGGAAUACAUCGGAAUCUACUUUUUCGUGGGGGAUAAUGUAGGGAAACUUACGCUAAUACCGCAUACGGCCUACGGGUGAAAGCAGGGGAUCUUCGGACCUUGCGCGAUUGAAUGAGCCGAUGUCGGAUUAGCUAGUUGGCGGGGUAAAGGCCCACCAAGGCGACGAUCCGUAGCUGGUCUGAGAGGAUGAUCAGCCACACUGGAACUGAGACACGGUCCAGACUCCUACGGGAGGCAGCAGUGGGGAAUAUUGGACAAUGGGCGCAAGCCUGAUCCAGCCAUACCGCGUGGGUGAAGAAGGCCUUCGGGUUGUAAAGCCCUUUUGUUGGGAAAGAAAAGCAGCAGGUUAAUACCCCGCUGUUCUGACGGUACCCAAAGAAUAAGCACCGGCUAACUUCGUG
RNAcentral lists this ribosomal RNA (492 nucleotides) under uncultured bacterium. RNAcentral describes it as "partial 16S ribosomal RNA". It matches the Rfam family "Bacterial small subunit ribosomal RNA", at positions 29 to 507 of the family's 1533-position model. The record is from RNAcentral.